RNAcentral lists this ribosomal RNA (440 nucleotides) under uncultured bacterium. RNAcentral describes it as "partial 16S ribosomal RNA". It matches the Rfam family "Bacterial small subunit ribosomal RNA", at positions 338 to 795 of the family's 1533-position model. The record is from RNAcentral.
CCUACGGGUGGCAGCAGUAGGGAAUAUUGCUCAAUGGGGGAAACCCUGAAGCAGCAACGCCGCGUGGAGGAUGAAGGUUUUCGGAGUGUAAACUCCUUUUGGUAGAGAAGAAAAUGACGGUAUGUAACGAAUAAGCACCGGCUAACUCCGUGCCAGCAGCCGCGGUAAUACGGAGGGUGCACGCGUUACUCGGAAUGACUGGGCGUAAAGAGCGCGUAGGCGGGAUAGCCAGUCAGAUGUUAAAUCCUAUGGCUUAACCCUAGACCUGCAGUUGAAACUGUUAUUCUAGAGUAUGGGAGAGGUAGGUGGAAUUCUUGGUGUAGCGGUCAAAUCCGUAGAGAUCACGCGGAAUUCUCAUUGCGAAGGCGACCUGCUAGAGCAUACCUGACGCUGAUGCGCGAAAGCGUGGGUAGCAAACAGGAUUAGAUACCCCUGUAGUC